CCUACGGGUGGCAGCAGUGGGGAAUAUUGCACAAUGGGCGAAAGCCUGAUGCAGCAACGCCGCGUGAAGGAAGAAGGGUUUCGGCUCGUAAACUUCUAUCAACAGGGACGAAAGAAAUGACGGUACCUGAGUAAGAAGCCCCGGCUAACUACGUGCCAGCAGCCGCGGUAAUACGUAGGGGGCAAGCGUUAUCCGGAUGUACUGGGUGGAAAGGGAGCGUAGACGGUGCGCCAAGUCUGGAGUGAAAUGCCGCAGCUUAACUGCGGAACUGCUUUGGAAACUGGCGAACUAGAGUGCGGGAGGGGUAAGCGGAAUUCCUAGUGUAGCGGUGAAAUGCGUAGAUAUUAGGAGGAACACCGGUGGCGAAGGCGGCUUACUGGACCGUAACUGACGUUGAGGCUCGAAAGCGUGGGGAGCAAACAGGAUUAGAUACCCCAGUAGUC
This 443-nucleotide ribosomal RNA is filed under the name uncultured bacterium. RNAcentral's name for it is "partial 16S ribosomal RNA". It matches the Rfam family "Bacterial small subunit ribosomal RNA", at positions 338 to 795 of the family's 1533-position model. The record is from RNAcentral.